CAGAUUGGAGAGAAGCCGCUCAUCCAUCACCGUCUCUGCACCUCCCGAAAGUUUCUACGCUCUGCUAGCUCCUCUGCUUCUUCUGCUCCCUCUGCUCUGCCAGAUCAGCGUAGCGCUGUGCGCGGUUCGAAUCUGCAGUAGCAACACGAGCAUUCUCCACCACGCCCGCCGCAUGUUCUUCUUCUCCUUCUUCCUUUAUUUCUUUAUUUGUAUUGUGCUUUAUUUUUCUUCUUUUUUUCUGCUACGUUUUCACCUGUUUACAAGAGGAGAAGUGCCCCUCACCCAUAACAAAGGGGUUCUUCUGUCCUUCUGCUUUGCACCUUCACUUCUGGUUUUCUCUUCAUGGUUUUUUUUUUGUUCUAUUUUUUGCUCACUCUGCUCUUAGGUUUUUCUACUAAUUAAAUUGAUUAUUUUGAUUUAUCCAAGAAGAAGAGAAAGCUCAAUAGAGAAUCCUUUUAGUAUAUUCCAUUCAAUAUCAGAAUAUCUAAACCAAGUUGUAAAUUGCAGUGAGAAUAAUUUUUACAAAUAUUUCUAUAAAUUUGUCAUAAUCAAGUGAUAAUACCCUUUGAGUUUGGAAAUGGGAGCUUAGAAGAUAGGUCAUGAAUCUUGGUUGAUAUUGAGACUAUUAAGCCUACUCAUGUUUUUAAUGUUGAUGAUUUUACCAGUGCAUUUAAUUUGAAGUGGUUUGAGGCUAACAAAACAGAAUCUAUUGGUGUUGAUGUUGUUGGUGUGCUAACAUUGGCAAAUGCUUGCAAGGACCAUAGCCUCCCCAUGUGAAUUAUGCCUUUAGUGGCAAUUUUAAACAUACACCAAAUUCUAAUGUUUCUUUCUACUCUAAAACCCAAGUCAAGGCGAGUUCCAAAAAGUAUACAAUCUUGGUUAGAUGAUUAGAUGUCCGAUGUAUUUGGUGCAUCAUAACUUGAUUAAUUUUUAUAAGCAGUAUAUAUUGCGAGUGAAUUUGUCUUUGACCCUUUUAAAAUUUUGUGUUAGGUUGAAGAGCUUCUAAAGGAUUAUGAUUUAUGAAAAUGUAUGAACCCUCUAAAUUCAAUUUCCAAUAUCCUCUGAACUUAGCAAUUCACACACAACUUCAUCACUAAGAUGACAAGAUCAGAUAAAGUGUCUAAAGUAUCAUUAUAUUUUGCCUAUCAAAACAAAGAGGGUCACUAGAGUUGAGUUGAACAAGAGACUCCGGCACAAAGAACAACAGAAAAAAGAAGCUGAAGCUAAGAAGUUGGAGGAAUUGUCGAAAGAAAUUGACAGCAUACCUGAAAUUAUGAAGGAAAUCAAGCAAGAAGAUGAGGAAAAGCAGAAGAAACACUCAGGCGCGAAGAUGCUAAACAAGAGAGGUUAAAGGCACAGCCACCACGCUUAGGAAAGCACAAGUAAGUAGUCUUUUCUAUUUAUCUUAAUUUGCUAUCAAAAUCUUAGUUAUUCGAAUGAGAGAACAUGCUAAGGGUACUUCACUGCUUUUGACCUAACACAUAUUAUUCCAUACACAUAAUUCUUUGUGAGUGUAUAUUUAUCACAAUUUGUUAAUAAGUUUGAGCCUGCUCCCGUUCAAGUUCUCCUAAUCGACGAAAUAAAUGGAUCCAUCCAGAAGCUUAAGUAAGCUUGUAAAAAUUCUCUUGCUUACUUUUUGUUAUCCGUUUUCUGUUUUUUUUUUUAAAACAUCCAAGUAACUUUUCAAUUUCUAUGACAUAUAUGUAGGGUUGUUGUACCCUUAUAAAGGAUCGAUAUAAAAGUUUAGAGAAGAGAGGUUUGGUUGUUCCAACAUCCAAAACAUCCAAGAGGAAGUAGUUUACUGCUCUAACAUUAUAUGAAACAUGUCAUCAUCAAAUCAUUUUUGCAUAUAGUUCAUACAUCUAUAUUUUAACCGUUUGAUAUGACACAUUUAAAAUUUGUAUGACAUUGUGUUUGUGUUAUGGCUUUGGUAGGAAGUAGAGUCCUCUUGAUUGUUGGUUCCAUUACCAAGCAUUGACGCCAUGGAUGAAAGACCAAUACAAUUUUAUCUAAAUCAAGAUUUUGUUUUCUUGUGUUUGUUUCAUUUAUACUCCUAGCUAGUCACAGUUAAUGUGUUUCCAUAUCAAUCUGCAAUCCGAUAUUUUUACAUAUAUUUGUAACCAUAUUUAUAAUUUCUCAGAGCUUGAAUGAACUUUUUUUUUUGUUUUGCAACAGUGUUCAGUGAGCAUUUCACACUCCUUUGUGCAAUUUAGAAACAAAGAUCAUUAUCAGUAUGAAAUAUCUCCUUAGCCCUCCACUUUUUGCAUUCAAUCUCAGCUGCUUUAAUACGUAGGGAAGACCAUUAUCAAAAUGACAAAAUAUGCAUUUUACUUCUGGCAUUUUGUUUCAGAGAUAUCAUUGUCUUGAACUCUUGAUUUGUUAUUA
Molecule: long non-coding RNA, 2385 nt
Organism: Arachis duranensis
Lineage: Eukaryota; Viridiplantae; Streptophyta; Magnoliopsida; Fabales; Fabaceae
Exons: 4
Source: RefSeq, a predicted model, not a curated record